This is a long non-coding RNA of Bubalus bubalis (water buffalo), 1395 nucleotides long. RefSeq lists it as uncharacterized. NCBI's taxonomy places the organism in Eukaryota, Metazoa, Chordata, Mammalia, Artiodactyla, Bovidae. The record is from RefSeq and is a predicted model, not a curated record. The transcript has 3 exons.
UCCAGGCUCCACCAACAGUCAGUCUGGCAGUGGUCCUCGCGGUAGAGAGUGUGAUAAGAUGCGAUCAGUCACAGCCUUCUCCCCCGGCGCCCUCCAGCCCGGCAGGUGAGCUGGGGGCCUGGGGACAGGCUGGUGCAGUGUCCCGUAGCACCCCAGAGCCCUUGAAGGAGCAGCGGACCUCUCCCCUAUCCCCACCUCUGCGACCUCAUGACAAUGGCGGACUCCAUGGGUUGUGGUCCUUGGCAGCUGGAACAUACUGACACUGCCAUUAAGGAACUUCAGUUUGUCAGCCUGAAAUUCUCAUCCAAGAAGAUUUUUAGGAACAGAAUCCUCCAGAUUGGGCACUGCAAGGAAAUGACUGCAUCACGCCUCUGAAUUUUCCUUUCCUGAAGGUUUUUCCCCCACAACCCUGUUCUAGCUGACUGAAACUACAGAAAGACUAGGUGCAGCUCCCAUGAAAUGGGUCUUCACAUUAGUGGAGCCUCCAGAAGGGGAAAAGAUUUCCUCUAACUUUGACCUCAUAGGCAAAUUAGUUCCUGUCACAGUGUACUACCAAGAAAUAGGAACUCUGUCUCCCUCCUUUUUUGAAAGCAAAAUAUUGCCAAUAAUUUUGCCAAUUCAAUUAAGUGAAAAUAUUCUCUGUUCCUCAGAAUCUGGCCCUGCUAACCAGCCCACAUUCUCUCUUUUAUCCAUCUUCCUUACUGAAUACAUAUGGUGGUUUAUAAUUGAAAAUGCGUGAACAUGCAGAAACCCAGGGAAGCUGGCAACUUCUUUUAAUGUGUAAAUUGUGUUCAAAAAGUAAGUACACCUUGGCAUUCUCAAAAGUCAUGCUCCCUUGCCAUCAGCUGCAGGAACAGAACUAAAUUAUAAAUUAAAGCCAGUUGCCAAGUAUAUAUAUAUACACACACAAAGGCAUUCAUUCCACAAGUGCAUCCUAAUUUGGGACCUUAUUAUGGGGGCCAGUGACAAAUAGUUCUGCAAACUUUCAAGAAAGCAAGAGAGCAAGAAAAGUAGAAUACAUUUGAAGAGGAAAAUUAAAUGGUAUUUCAUUACAAAUGGCCAUCUGAAGAAAUUCAGAUCGGGGACAUCGGUCUUCAAAGAGUUCAAAGUUGGCAAUUAAAAAAAAAAUAUCUAUAUCCACUUAAAAGAACCAAAUAUUUAAAAAAAAAUACAGCUUAAAAAAAUCAUCUCCUUUCUUAGCACUGACAAACUCAUUUCUUGGCCAGCUCUGUGUAAGAAGGCUGCGACAUCUUGCAUUUUGCAUGAGGGACACAUUUUCAAAAAACUGUAAACUGUAUCAACUAGUUUUUAUUAUCUAAUUUUAUAUCACUUUGUCAACAAAGCUCUGGUUUUUCCAGUGGUCAUGGACAGAUGUGAGGGUUGUGCCAUAAAGAA